Molecule: long non-coding RNA, 745 nt
Filed under: Oryctolagus cuniculus (rabbit)
Lineage: Eukaryota; Metazoa; Chordata; Mammalia; Lagomorpha; Leporidae
Description: lncRNA (ENSOCUG00000036729.1)
Source: RNAcentral
AUGCCCACCUCCUCCGCCUGCCCCGCCCAGAGCCGGCCCAGCCCUGCCCCGCCGCCCGCCGCCGGGGAUCUCGGCCCAGGCCCUCUCGCCGGCUCUGGGCCCCAGCUCCGCCCCUCGCUUGAAUGGGGGGCCAGCUCUUCCUCUGGGUCAGGGUCGGGAACCGAGCGGGGGCUUCAGGGCCGGAUACUUCGCCAGGGGAGGCGGCGCGCUCGCCCCGAAAGCCUCUGCCUGCUCGCGGCGGAGAGAGGCUGGGCGGCCGCGGGUGCGGACAGCUGCCCGGUUCCGCGGCUCUCGCGGCCCGGGGGGCCCCCUGGCCGGGCUCCCCCACCCCUCCCGUGGCUCUCACCCCCACGCUCCCUAAUCCAAUUUGCAACUUGGCCGCGCGCCGCCCCCGGCUCGGCCCCCACCCCCGCAGCCCCAGUUCCAGAGGCGGGAGGAUCGACUCCUGCAGCCGGGAGCGGGGGCAGCGGCUCCUCAAGGCGGCGGGCGCCGGCGUCUUCAGAGCGCCAUGCGAACCGCGGAGCGAGUGUGGCAUCUCUACCAGGCGGGGUACCAGCCUCUAUGCCAGGCCAUAUGGGCUUGGCACGUCACGGGCAGCAGCUAUCACAUGAGAGACGGUGAUUGGCAUGCGUCUGCAUUGGGGGAGAGCCGGCUCCCCCGGGACCCGCCGCCAUCUGUCACUCUCUACUCCAAAAAAAAAAAAAAAUUAAAUAAAUAAAGGAAAUAAAUAAAUAUCUCCGCCGCC